RNAcentral lists this ribosomal RNA (253 nucleotides) under uncultured bacterium. RNAcentral's name for it is "partial 16S ribosomal RNA". It matches the Rfam family "Bacterial small subunit ribosomal RNA", at positions 524 to 776 of the family's 1533-position model. The record is from RNAcentral.
UACGGGGGAUGCAAGUGUUAUCCGGAAUAAUUGGGCGUAAAGCGUCUGUAGGUGGUUGACCAAGUCUGUUGUUAAAAAUCAGGGCUCAACCCUGAUCCGGCAACAGAAACUAGUAAACUUGAGUACGGUAGGGGCAGAGGGAAUUCUCGGUGUAGUGGUGAAAUACGUAGAUAUCGAGAAGAACACCAAUAGCGAAAGCACUCUGCUGGGCCGAAACUGACAUUGAGAGACGAAAGCUAGGGGGGCAAAAGGG